RNAcentral lists this ribosomal RNA (452 nucleotides) under uncultured Skermanella sp. RNAcentral describes it as "partial 16S ribosomal RNA". Lineage: Bacteria; Pseudomonadati; Pseudomonadota; Alphaproteobacteria; Rhodospirillales; Azospirillaceae. The record is from RNAcentral.
CACGAAGUUAGCCGGGGCUUCUUCCCACGCUACCGUCAUCAUCGUCGCGUGCGAAAGAGCUUUACAACCCGAAGGCCUUCAUCACUCACGCGGCAUUGCUGGAUCAGGCUUGCGCCCAUUGUCCAAUAUUCCCCACUGCUGCCUCCCGUAGGAGUCUGGGCCGUGUCUCAGUCCCAGUGUGGCUGAUCAUCCUCUCAGACCAGCUAAGGAUCGUUGCCUUGGUAGGCCGUUACCCCACCAACAAGCUAAUCCUACGCGGGCCCAUCCCAUGGCGAUAAAUCUUUGUCCCGCAGGACACAUACGGUAUUAGCUCCAGUUUCCCGGAGUUAUUCCGUACACAGGGCAGGUUCCCACGCGUUACUCACCCGUGCGCCACUAGGGCCGAAGCCCUCGUUCGACUUGCAUGUGUUAGGCAUGCCGCCAGCGUUCGUUCUGAGCCAGGAUCAAACUCU